UUUAUGGAGAGUUUGAUCCUGGCUCAGGAUGAACGCUGGCGGCGUGCCUAAUACAUGCAAGUCGAGCGAACGGACGAGAAGCUUGCUUCUCUGAUGUUAGCGGCGGACGGGUGAGUAACACGUGGAUAACCUACCUAUAAGACUGGGAUAACUUCGGGAAACCGGAGCUAAUACCGGAUAAUAUUUUAAACCGCAUGGUUCAAAAGUGAAAGACGGUCUUGCUGUCACUUAUAGAUGGAUCCGCGCUGCAUUAGCUAGUUGGUAAGGUAACGGCUUACCAAGGCAACGAUGCAUAGCCGACCUGAGAGGGUGAUCGGCCACACUGGAACUGAGACACGGUCCAGACUCCUACGGGAGGCAGCAGUAGGGAAUCUUCCGCAAUGGGCGAAAGCCUGACGGAGCAACGCCGCGUGAGUGAUGAAGGUCUUCGGAUCGUAAAACUCUGUUAUUAGGGAAGAACAUAUGUGUAAGUAACUGUGCACAUCUUGACGGUACCUAAUCAGAAAGCCACGGCUAACUACGUGCCAGCAGCCGCGGUAAUACGUAGGUGGCAAGCGUUAUCCGGAAUUAUUGGGCGUAAAGCGCGCGUAGGCGGUUUUUUAAGUCUGAUGUGAAAG
RNAcentral lists this ribosomal RNA (617 nucleotides) under Staphylococcus aureus. Its description in RNAcentral is "bacterial SSU rRNA". It matches the Rfam family "Bacterial small subunit ribosomal RNA", at positions 1 to 600 of the family's 1533-position model. The record is from RNAcentral. Lineage: Bacteria; Bacillati; Bacillota; Bacilli; Caryophanales; Staphylococcaceae.